This 450-nucleotide ribosomal RNA is filed under the name uncultured bacterium. Its description in RNAcentral is "partial 16S ribosomal RNA". It matches the Rfam family "Bacterial small subunit ribosomal RNA", at positions 354 to 796 of the family's 1533-position model. The record is from RNAcentral.
GUGGGGAAUCUUCCGCAAUGGACGAAAGUCUGACGGAGCAACGCCGCGUGAGUGAUGAAGGUCUUCGGAUUGUAAAGCUCUGUUAAUCGGGACGAAAGAGCCUAGUGUGAAUAAUGCUAGGAAGUGACGGUACCGGAAUAGAAAGCCACGGCUAACUACGUGCCAGCAGCCGCGGUAAUACGUAGGUGGCAAGCGUUGUCCGGAAUUAUUGGGCGUAAAGCGCGCGCAGGCGGAUCUGCCAGUCUGUCUUAAAAGUUCGGGGCUUAACCCCGUGAUGGGAUGGAAACUACAGAUCUAGAGUAUCGGAGAGGAAAGUGGAAUUCCUAGUGUAGCGGUGAAAUGCGUAGAUAGUAGGAAGAACACCAGUGGCGAAGGCGACUUUCGGGACGAAAACUGACGCUGAGGCGCGAAAGCCAGGGGAGCGAACGGGAUUAGAAACCCCAGUAGUCC